Molecule: ribosomal RNA, 274 nt
Filed under: uncultured bacterium
Lineage: Bacteria
Description: partial 16S ribosomal RNA
Rfam family: Bacterial small subunit ribosomal RNA
Source: RNAcentral
AUACGGAGGGUGCGAGCGUUAAUCGGAAUUACUGGGCGUAAAGCGCGCGUAGGCGGUUGGAUAAGUCGGAUGUGAAAGCCCCGGGCUCAACCUGGGAAUUGCAUUCGAAACUGUCCGGCUAGAGUAUGGUAGAGGGAAGCGGAAUUCCACAUGUAGCGGUGAAAUGCGUAGAUAUGUGGAGGAACACCAGUGGCGAAGGCGGCUUCCUGGACCAAUACUGACGCUGAGGUGCGAAAGCGUGGGGAGCAAACAGGAGUAGAAACCCUAGUAGUCC